UGACCAUUGUUGGGAGUUGGACUGCA
This 26-nucleotide non-coding RNA is filed under the name Mus musculus (house mouse). The record is from RNAcentral. Lineage: Eukaryota; Metazoa; Chordata; Mammalia; Rodentia; Muridae.